Molecule: unclassified non-coding RNA, 164 nt
Filed under: Penicillium simplicissimum
Lineage: Eukaryota; Fungi; Ascomycota; Eurotiomycetes; Eurotiales; Aspergillaceae
Description: partial internal transcribed spacer 2
Source: RNAcentral
CUGCCCUCAAGCACGGCUUGUGUGUUGGGCCCCGCCCCCCCGUCCGGGGGGGCGGGCCCGAAAGGCAGCGGCGGCACCGCGUCCGGUCCUCGAGCGUAUGGGGCUUCGUCACCCGCUCUGUAGGCCCGGCCGGCGCCCGCCGGCGACCCCAAUCAAUCUUUCCA